AGACUUACCUGAACGGGGUCAAUGAGCGAUCAGUAAGACCCGUGGCCUAGGUUGGUAACUUCCAUUGCACUUUGGAAGGGUGCUUGUCUAAGGUCGGCCCAAGCGGACGAGCCUACGUCAUAAUUUGUAGCAGAGGGAUACUGCGUUCGUGCGGCCCCUAC
Molecule: non-coding RNA, 161 nt
Organism: Capsicum annuum
Lineage: Eukaryota; Viridiplantae; Streptophyta; Magnoliopsida; Solanales; Solanaceae
Source: Rfam